AACAACAGUGUGAACAAUAUCCAGUACAGCACUGCAAGGAAGAGAACUGGAGUCACGUCUUUUCUUGGAGUCGUGAAAUAAAAAAGCACUUAUUACAGGGUGAUGUAACAAGGGAGAGUGCGAGUGUGAGUGGGUACUACUAGACACCAUCUCUCUGCCUGCACAUCCAGAUGUUUCCAGAUUGUUAUUUCUUCUUCUUCUCUAUCCCUCAAUUUCCGUACCAGCUAUCAUCCAUCAUCCUCCGACCUUCUGUCGAGCCCCUCUGACUUACUGCUGUUGAUUUGUGUAAUCCCCACCUUUUAUCUCUUUUCUCCCCCUCCCUCCCCUCGGCCAUGUCCUCAUCAUGUAUUUGUCUUUCCAUCACUCCCUCCGUUUAAUCUCAUCUCUGAUCCGAGCGGUAUUUUUAAACCUGUCACGUACAACUCAUCUGUGGAGGACAAGUGUAUUUAUAGCCCGUAAACUAAAAUGAUAUAACUCUGUAACAGACACGUGUGUUAAUAUGGAGCUGAUGCCAAAACGAAUCACGGACAGCCUGCAGGAUGUGUGUUAAUGAGGCGCUUGAUGUACUGCGCGUGUAAAUGUGUGCGUUUACGUGUGAAUGUCUUGACCCCGUGUGGUGUUUUUCUGGGUCUUUCUUUGGGACACAAACGAUUAUGUACAUCCUCAGAGAAGAGCCAAGAAAGAAGAUGGGUUUGAAUCUACCCUUGUGCAUUAAAAAUUGAUAUAUUUUGUAUAAUUAACCAUUUCUUUAACCCAAAAUAGAUGUUUUGUAAUCACACUAAUGUGUGAAGAUGGAUCAACGUUCAAACAUUUUGAAACUUAUUCUUGAAAAACAACAAAAUGCAACCUAGAAGGCACGACGUCCACGCCUGAAUUUACUGCAGUUUUUUUUUUUUUGAACAAUUCAACUUACAAACUUUCUGGUACCAACAAAUUUGUAAAAUAGGUGGGCGAAGAUUAAUUCAUUAUCAGUCAAAAUGGAACUGGAGUUUGAAACCUUUCCUUUGAAAAUAAGGGAGGGCAAGAAAAAGGGGAACUGAUUAUUGGAUUAUCUGAAGUUACACAAGGUGCAUUCUUUUGUCGUUCUACUGUGAGACACAUGUCAAGUAUUAUGAGUCACAUUGUCUCGCACGCUCUGGCUCUGCCCGUCGGGGGCCUUUUAGUUGAGAACUUCUGUUACAAUGUUUGUGUUUUGAAUUAUUUUGCUUUUAAAAAUGUUUGAUUUGACCUGUUGUUGAUCCAUCUCAUGGUUUUAAGAUGAGGAGACCAAAACAUGAAUAGAUGUUCUCAUGGGUCGAUCAUGCCUUUGUGUAAAAUCACAUUUCUGGGAACACAGAAAUAUGUUUCACCAUGUCUUUGGAGUGAGAUGAUGCAAAUUAGGAAAUUAUCAGGCUUUUAUUCAAAGGCGAUGACGCAAUAACCAGAUUUGCAACACCAUAAAAUAUUAUUCUGAUGUUUUCCAGUAGAGAAAACCGGACUACAGACGAAUGUGCACAAUAAUACGACUCAAUAAAAAGGAUAUAAGAUAUCGUGGUCUCGCUGUGGUCAGUUUGGCUCCUGAACAGUUUAAAAAGAAGGAGUAGUGCAAACAAAGGCUUUAUUUCGUGGCAUUCAUCAGCAUGAACAUUUUCCACAACAUUUGAUUUAACGGGGGAUAAAGAGCUCCGAACAAAAGCAAUCUGUAGCUGCCACCUACUUAUACCUACGUUCUACAACUCCAAUAAACUGCAUUUCACCCUUAAAUCCUUACUACCACCUGCCUAGGUAAGCACAGCAUGAGCAAAACAGAUCCCACAUCAUGUCAAAUAAUCAUAUAUAUUUAAUAGUUAUCAAACAACCACACACUACAUUAUAGUUUCAGCAGAAAAACACGACAAUUCAAUUUACAGACGGGGGACAGGAUGAGUGCUACUAUGAGUUAUGAACUUCCUUUAGGAAGCAGAUUGUAAGAGAAUUAGACCAGUUGUUCACAUUUGCAGUGACGUAGGAGAACAUUUGACUUUCACUUUGGUUUAAUGAGCAACCGUUAGUCUCAACCGGACAGCUGUUUGAGCCUUGACGGACUCGUGUCCCAUAACAGGGAGAUUAAAGUAGGCGUUACGUUUGACGGAUCGUGAAAGAGAACAAUAUUACGAAAGCCGUCCCAAACGAGCGGGAGAUUGACCCGCCUUUGACCUGGUGCGGACUUAAGAACUUAGAGCUCAACUCAGGCAGAGGAGAUGUUUUGAGAAUUUCAUAACUGCACAGCUGCAUCUGCCCCCCAACACCCUCUCUAGCAGGAUGCUGCCAGGGACCCGACGCCACUUAUUAAGCCGUCCAAUCUGCAGCCGGGGAUCAAUGAAACCCCCCCACUGUAAGAUACUUACAUCUCCACAUUCUUACUGUUACGUACCCUCGCAAAUCUUUCCUCUUAUAUUAUACACAUGACACGUGUUUGAAUGUUUUCUUAGUAAUUUGUUCAUCAUAUUUUACUGUACACGUUCACAUACAUCAUGUCUCUAUUGUUUUAAUGUCAAAACUGUCAGAGGAUUCACACAUAUAAUCUAAUGAAAUUCAAACAUCUGAACCUUUGGAAAUUACUCAGCCAGAGAAAACAAUUACAUGGCAGCUGUAUAACAUCUGGUACUUUUCCUCACAUGCCAAAAUGUUGACCUGGAAAACUUCUAAUAAAGAUGAACAAAGGGCAGAGAUUGAACCCCAAAUCCAAAAGAUAUUUCCAAAUGUAGAACGUGAGGGUUGAUCUGGGACAAAUUACCGCCACAAAAAGUAAGGACGCUGUCGGGACGCAGGAAGACAGUUUUGAAAAACCCAACCUGGAGCUCCUGUGACAUUAAGCCGUUGUUGAUUUAUGAGUGGGGUUCAUGUCUUGAAUAAACCAGGCUAUGUG
This is a long non-coding RNA of Gasterosteus aculeatus aculeatus (three-spined stickleback), 2887 nucleotides long. The record is from Ensembl. Lineage: Eukaryota; Metazoa; Chordata; Actinopteri; Perciformes; Gasterosteidae.